This 502-nucleotide ribosomal RNA is filed under the name uncultured bacterium. RNAcentral describes it as "bacterial SSU rRNA". It matches the Rfam family "Bacterial small subunit ribosomal RNA", at positions 29 to 533 of the family's 1533-position model. The record is from RNAcentral.
AUUGAACGCUGGCGGAAUGCUUUACACAUGCAAGUCGAGCGGCAGCGCGGGGCAACCCUGGCGGCGAGCGGCGAACGGGUGAGUAACAUAUCGGAACGUACCCAGUCGUGGGGGAUAACUAUCCGAAAGGAUAGCUAAUACCGCAUACGUCCUGAGGGAGAAAGCGGGGGAUCGCAAGACCUCGCGCGAUUGGAGCGGCCGAUAUCGGAUUAGCUAGUUGGUGGGGUAAAGGCUCACCAAGGCGACGAUCCGUAGCGGGUCUGAGAGGACGACCCGCCACACUGGAACUGAGACACGGUCCAGACUCCUACGGGAGGCAGCAGUUGGGGAAUAUUGCGCAAUGGGCGAAAGCCUGACGCAGCGACGCCGCGUGGGGGAUGAAGGUUUUCGGAUUGUAAACCCCUUUCAUGAGGAAAGAUAAAGUGGGUAACCACUUAGACGGUACCUCAAGAAGAAGCCACGGCUAACUUCGUGCCAGCAGCCGCGGUUAAUGUCGAUAUCG